UCUAACAUGUUGUCUAACAUUCUUAACUUUAUAGAAGCAAGCCUAAAAACACAGAACCGAAGGGGAAGUGCAAACAAAUCGGUGAAUCAUAAAGUGGUUCGUUUUUCUGCUCAACAAGCGAUGUUUUGUGGUAGCGUUCCACGCGGACUUUCUAUGCGCAACUGAAACUAUCUUAUCAUGCUGCCUAUCUUGUUUUUCAUUAUUCUUGAACAAACCACCUUUUUUCAAUAGCACACCUAAACAUAGACAGAUAAACUGAGUAAUGGUGCUCACUGAAAAUUAAUAAAAAAUACAGAUGGGACUGACUUGCGGUUACCGGCAGUAAACAUCCUGUUAUACAAUCCCCACUAUUCUGCGAGUCACGUGACUCUCCAUUUGAUUUGCACGGAGAGUCACUUCACCGUUGACAGUGAGUCACGUGACUCGUAGUAUGAGGAGGAAUGUCACGCGAGUACAACGCAACCAAAAAUGUAAGAACUGAAAAGAACCAUGACUUUGUUCCACGCAAUCUGUAUCCACUCCCAUCAUAACAAAAAAUAAAUAAAUAAGCGAAAAACGACAAAACAUUUUCAAAUGAAAAAAAUCGACGUCCGCAAAUUUUAACAUAGGUAAACAUAAAAAGGAUUCUUCUUCAACUACCGCGGUCAAAAUAAUAAAAAACGUAAAACGAAAACCAUUUCAUGUGUGAUUGGUACGAACUUUGUUAUUACAUUAGUUUUCUUCUCCUAGUAGGUAUCAUCUCAUCGUCAUCAUUAGCUUUUACGAUUCUACGUGUUUGUUUUAGGUAUCUUUUGUUCUUCUUCUUUUUUUUUCUAACAAUCGUUGCUGCUUUUCACUGUUCUCUCUAUGCAGUAAUUUCCACCGAGAAAGGGAAAAACAAAGCCAAACUUCACAACGUGUUUUUCAUUUUCUGCCUUUUCCUCGGGAAACUACUUAAAAACCACUAACAAGAAACGCGAAACCCGCACAAAAAAAAAAUUCAUUGUGGAAAACUAAAUAAACAACAAUAAUAAUUAUUAAUUUAAAAAUAAUAAUAAAGAUAAUAGAACGAACCGGAAGAAGAGGGGACAGGGCGGUUGAGAAGACGGGUUAGGGAAAAUAGAUUAAGGAAGGUUGGUAGGUAGUAGCAGUACACAAGUGCUGUUCGGUAAAACAUAGCUACUGAAUCACAAUUUUAACUCUAUAUCGAAAUAGGAAAACACACACACACACACAUUGCAUGGCAUAGUGGUGGCACGGUGCAUGUGUGGAUGUGUCUUGUUGAAUUAUUAUUGCUGUUGUUGUUGUUGUUGAUGUCAUAGGAAAACUUGCCAAACUACAUCAUCGAACUGGUUUGCAUUCGUGUGAUCCCGUUUCCCGGAGAGGGGGAAAAUUUGAUUUUCUUCCUCCGAGAAUAGAUCGUCCUGGUGCUGAAUUUGCUCGUUGGUUCUAAAAUUUAAAACAUGUUCCUUCAACAACGAUUUGCCUUUUCGCGUUUCACUAUCUCACUUUCCCUUACUAAAUGUAUUUACUAAACACAACAUAAAUUAUAGUCAAUCCUACUCGUUUAAAGGUAGUUCAAUUAGGUUUGCUCGAAAAAGGAAGGCUGCUUCACGCAUCAAACGGUUGUUUGUUGUUUUUUUUGUUCUAUGUAAUUGUUUGUCUGUUGUUUGUUGGAUUGGUUUGAGGCCUAGCAUGUGCUGCUGUGCUGUCAGUGGUUUUUUCAUCUUCUUUCUUCUUUUGGAUUAUGGGAUUUGCUUUGCCUUAGAUAGUUUCGAUCUUUGUAGUUUUUUUUUUACUCUUAUAGAAUUAGAAUUCUGUUGGAUUCUUAUAUUUUUGUUUUGCAUUUUGCUUCUCUUUCUCUCUUUUGUUAGGGGAUAAAUCACAUUUUGGUCAGAGAUUGGUUUGAAGCUGCAAGGCUCCGCAGCACGCAGCCCCGCCCAGCAGGAAAAUGGUACCGGCCCCGGCGCCAACACUAGCCGUCCAACGUAUCCACUAUGCCGUUGUCUGGGUGU
Ochlerotatus camptorhynchus is the source of this 1994-nucleotide long non-coding RNA. RefSeq lists it as uncharacterized. The record is from RefSeq and is a predicted model, not a curated record. NCBI's taxonomy places the organism in Eukaryota, Metazoa, Arthropoda, Insecta, Diptera, Culicidae. The transcript is spliced from 2 exons.